Triticum dicoccoides is the source of this 1883-nucleotide long non-coding RNA. RefSeq lists it as uncharacterized. The transcript has 7 exons. Lineage: Eukaryota; Viridiplantae; Streptophyta; Magnoliopsida; Poales; Poaceae. The record is from RefSeq and is a predicted model, not a curated record.
AGAGCGCGCGAACUGUGCGACGUGCGAGGGAGAGUAGCGCGCGUGAGGUCUUCAGCGUCCAAUCCCUGUGCGCCUCAGGGCCUCAGGGGGUACUACACCCAUUCGUCACCACCACACCAAACCCCACAGCGGCUCCUCCGCAGUCGCCCGCAACCCUUUCCCUCGAACCCCGCAGCUGUCGUCCUCCUCCAUCCUCUCGCGCCUCCUCCCACUCCCAUCCAGCCCCUUCCCCGCUCAUCCCUGAAAGGAUCCGAGACGUGCGGGCACGGAGGCGAAGGGCGAUGGCGGCGGCGCUUGAUUUGAGGCAGCGUCAUGGAUCGGCCCCUGCUGAGCGACAAGAUUGCUGGACUGCCACCAUCUCACCUCGCCCCACCAGCUUCCAGCGCCAUGGAUCCGCUGGAGAUGGAGGGCAACAAGUGAGAGGGAGUAGGAGAAGAGGUGAAUCGAGGGAGUGAAAGAAGAACCUGACACGGGAAGGGGAAGAGGGAGUCUUGCGGCGUAUCCUCUUUUGACGCCAUGGAGCCAGCUGCUCUUGCUCGACGGCACGAUACACAACACUGAGAGCAGAGGAAAGUAUGCCCUCUUCAUCUAGGCAGAGGAGCGGGACGGCCAGGAGCUGUCGUCCUGCUACCCUAUGCCAAUGGACGCGCCUCCCAGAUGGCUAGCAACGCCAGAUCCAGCUGGAAAGGACUCUAUGGCAGAUUGAGAAGCUUAUCCAAGCGAAGCAAUGACGUAAGCUGCUAGGAUAACUUCUGCAUGGUACUUCCUGUAAGAAAAGCUUCAUAAUUCGAUCAAGUAUACUGAUGAACAAUGCAUAUAAUGUUCAUAGAUUAUGACUUUACACAUGUAAUGCUGAUUUGAAAAUUUCCCUUGAUUUGUUCCUCAAAUGUUCUGAGAGAGUGUUGCGUAUUAGGAAACCCAUUGGAUAGUUAAGGUGUUGUUUCAGCUGACUAAUAUAAAGUUAUAUUUCCAGCAGAAGAUAUUUGGGAUUGACGUUCUGGUGAGAAAGUAGCAUAUAGAUGGAUGGACAUGAGCUAUCCAGUGUAGGUUCAAACAAUUCAUUCAUUCAUUGCAGGUUCAGCAUGUCUCAUUAUGUCUUUUUGCUUCAUAUUCAGGGUCGAACUGGGCUAUAUUUCUUUCAUUGAGGCGAGGGUGAUUCCAGUAGGUGAGGUGCAUUUUAGACAUCCGGAUGUCUUGCUAUGUUCAGGCGUACUCGCCUUUUUUUCUUGAAGUUAGGCGUUCGCUGUCUCUGUGGCAAGUGCUUUGUUUAGGAUCUGGGGAGUCGGAUUGUGGAUUACAUGUAGUGGGGAAGAAGAGAUGGGGACGAGGAAGAGGACACCCUUGGUGGCGUGCUAUAUCUCACUAGGCGACAAUGUUGAGAGGGUGCCUGGCAUCAAGAACCCGACAUGCUUUUCCGAGAGUUCGUUCAGGUGCAUAGUAUCUUAGUUAGGUAUCUCUGUGCAAGUGUAGUUUGCCUGCAGACUGCAUAGUAUCUUAGCUAGGUCUCUCCGGCAUGCUACCACAAAAGAGGAGCCAUGAUGUUAUGCCUAUAUCUGCAUCGUCUAUCAGUCCUAGAAGUUCUGAUCUUCAUCUACCGUUAAACCGAGUUCAUCUGUCUGGCGGAGCUGCUGUCCACGCUUUUAUCAGAGCUAAUGUUCACGGGAUCAUCCAUGCGAAUGCAAGCUCCCCUCAUGCUCAGCCGUGGUGGAAGCCUAAAACAACAUAGAUUAUCAAUCAACACAGACUAAUCAAGUCACAUUACUGUGACGAUUUGUAAAUUUGCCAGAGGUUUUGAAUGGGACUUUACACCACCAAAUUAGAAUGUGUACAAGACACCAUUUUUUCGACUAAAGGAGAUUAUGUUUAUUAUCAUAUGUACUUGC